Telopea speciosissima is the source of this 91-nucleotide long non-coding RNA. RefSeq lists it as uncharacterized. The transcript is spliced from 3 exons. The record is from RefSeq and is a predicted model, not a curated record. NCBI's taxonomy places the organism in Eukaryota, Viridiplantae, Streptophyta, Magnoliopsida, Proteales, Proteaceae.
AGCUCUCUGGUAUAGUCUAGGGCAAUGGUUGAGGAGAAGGAUACCUCAAGAGGAAAAGUGAAAGGACAGGGGACAGGGACAAUGCAUUCUA